RNAcentral lists this ribosomal RNA (497 nucleotides) under uncultured bacterium. Its description in RNAcentral is "partial 16S ribosomal RNA". It matches the Rfam family "Bacterial small subunit ribosomal RNA", at positions 28 to 507 of the family's 1533-position model. The record is from RNAcentral.
GAUGAACGCUGGCGGCGUGCCUAAUACACGCAAGUCGAGCGAACAGACGAGGAGCUUGCUCCUCUGACGUUAGCGGCGGACGGGUGAGUAACACGUGGAUAACCUACCUAUAAGACUGGGAUAACUUCGGGAAACCGGAGCUAAUACCGGAUAAUAUAUUGAACCGCAUGGUUCAAUAGUGAAAGACGGUUUUGCUGUCACUUAUAGAUGGAUCCGCGCCGCAUUAGCUAGUUGGUAAGGUAACGGCUUACCAAGGCAACGAUGCGUAGCCGACCUGAGAGGGUGAUCGGCCACACUGGAACUGAGACACGGUCCAGACUCCUACGGGAGGCAACAGUAGGGAAUCUUCCGCAAUGGGCGAAAGCCUGACGGAGCAACGCCGCGUGAGUGAUGAAGGUCUUCGGAUCGUAAAACUCUGUUAUUAGGGAAGAACAAAUGUGUAAGUAACUAUGCACGUCUUGACGGUACCUAAUCAGAAAGCCACGGCUAACUACGUG